AAUGCCCUGUGAAAUCCUGUCU
This 22-nucleotide microRNA is filed under the name Eisenia fetida (common brandling worm). Its description in RNAcentral is "Efe-Mir-193-P2f-v2_3p (mature (guide))". The record is from RNAcentral. Lineage: Eukaryota; Metazoa; Annelida; Clitellata; Crassiclitellata; Lumbricidae.